This 1775-nucleotide long non-coding RNA is filed under the name Pongo abelii (Sumatran orangutan). RNAcentral's name for it is "lincRNA". Lineage: Eukaryota; Metazoa; Chordata; Mammalia; Primates; Hominidae. The record is from RNAcentral.
ACACACACACACACACAGAGACAGACUCUCACUCUCUUACACAGCCCCUCUCGCGCCCGAGGUCUCGCCCGCAGGCCGGUGGCGCGGGGUCAGCUGCUGCCUGCGGUCCAGGACAGGGUCGGUUCCGCCGCGCAGCGCCCAGGCCCAGCUCGUCCAGAGUCUGCGGGCAGCGCACGUCCAGACAUCGCCCACUCGGGCUCAUGGUGCCAUCCGGGUGAGGACCUCCAUGGAGAGCUCCUCUUUGCCAAAGAAAAGCAAAGUUGCAUUAGGUCUGCGAGCAGGCAGGGUGGCCUCUUCCUGGCUCCCCCCCCACCAAGGAAGCUUCAAGUCCCUGGGACACAGGCACUUUCCCACACAGGACAGAGCCGGACCAUCAUCACAGCCCCUGCCCAGCAGACGCUAGCCUUGUGGAGGGAGGCGGGCAGCAGGAGCAGUGCUUUCUGGGCCUCUGUGGCCAGAGCCGGCCCCGCUACAGCUCACUUCUGCCUGCAGCCCAGACAUCCUCCUGGUCCUCCUGAUGCCCCCGACCUCCACGGAGGAUGAGCAUUUCCAGCCCAGCCCUCCCCAUCUCCACCUCCCACUCCCGACACACAGGGAGCCUCCUGAUCUGUGAACCCGCGCUGGCGGGAGUAGCUACUGACCGCUGGGGACCCCUGCCCAGGCUGCUCCCAUGUGGAAAGGAUUCAGGGAGCAGGCGAUGCUUAGCCGAAAGCGUGGAGACCAGCGCUGCUCUCUCCCCAGCGACAGGUGCACACCCAGAUCAUGGAUGUGUCGGGAACAGCUGUGCUCCUGCUCAGCGUCCGUCACUCCAGGCUGGGAGCGGGUCCCCAAGCUUCCAGCUGGGCCUAUCCGUCUCCACUCUCAGUGUGGGGGUGGGGGGCGCCAACAGCAUGCAUUUGCUCUACGCACUUCUCGUCUGAUAAUGGACUGAGGGUCCUUCUGCAGCCCCAAAACAUCCCUAGGCAGGAGCCCUGGGGCCCCAAGCAGCCAGGGAGGUGAGCACCAAGGACUUCCCAGAGAGCCUCAUCUCCCGCCGAGGGAGGCCCAGCCUGGAGGUGGUGUCUGAGACUUGGAAUCAAUACUUCCGUUGGUGGCAGUAAAUCCUGUCCCUAACCCUGCAGUAUAGAUGUGCCCUGUACAGGAGGGUGCUGUCUGACGCCAGACACCCGGACUACAAAUCGCAACCCCAUUCCUGGUCCUUGCUCCACUGCACCGCAGACCCCAUCCUCAUUCUGGGCCCUCAUCCCCUAGAUCCAGGGACCCCAGCCCCAUUUCAGCCCUUGGACCCUUGUAGGAUGUCAGGCCCUGGCUCCCCUGGGCCCCAGCCCCCAGCCCAUCCCUGACCCAGGCACUGGGGGGCCGAGCUCUUCUGAGAAGGGACAUAGGGCCUGGGGGGCUCUCUCAGCCCAUCAGCAGGAGAGGAGGAGAGGACAGACUCCAGAAAAAUCAGCCUUUGUACCCACUCAGGCUGCCAAGACCUGUGUCUGUCCUUCCAAGCUCAACCUUCAGAGUUCAUGAGGCCUCUUGCCCAGAAUGUCCACAGAUUUCAUGAGGCCCCUUGCCCAGAAUGUCCACGUUUGAAACCUCCCAACACCAAGCCCCAUUUCAAGUAUAACCAGGAGGGAAAAUGGUGCUUGAAAUAAGCAUGCCGCAAAGGAACACCUGCUUUCUCUAAAUGGGCUCUGGCCGCCCAGGCCCUGACCUCCCUGGCCAGGAUGGAACGUUCCAGAGACCUAUUAGUGCCAAAGGCAAAUUAAAACACACCCUGUGAAAAU